RNAcentral lists this ribosomal RNA (250 nucleotides) under uncultured Actinomycetales bacterium. RNAcentral's name for it is "partial 16S ribosomal RNA". It matches the Rfam family "Bacterial small subunit ribosomal RNA", at positions 80 to 334 of the family's 1533-position model. Lineage: Bacteria; Bacillati; Actinomycetota; Actinomycetes; Actinomycetales. The record is from RNAcentral.
UUGCAGGGUACUCGAGUGGCGAACGGGUGAGUAACACGUGGGUGAUCUGCCCUGCACUUCGGGAUAAGCCUGGGAAACUGGGUCUAAUACCGGAUAGGAGCCAUUUUUAGUGUGAUGGUUGGAAAGUUUUUCGGUGUAGGAUGAGCUCGCGGCCUAUCCGCUUGUUGGUGGGGUAAUGGCCUACCAAGGCGGCGACGGGUAGCCGGCCUGAGAGGGUGACCGGCCACAUUGGGACUGAGAUACGGCCCAG